This 571-nucleotide ribosomal RNA is filed under the name uncultured bacterium. RNAcentral describes it as "bacterial SSU rRNA". It matches the Rfam family "Bacterial small subunit ribosomal RNA", at positions 56 to 677 of the family's 1533-position model. The record is from RNAcentral.
UGCAGUCGAGCGCCUCGCAGAGGAGCGGCAGACGGGUGAGUAACGCGUGGGAAUCUACCCAUCUCUACGGAACAACUCCGGGAAACUGGAGCUAAUACCGUAUACGUCCUUCGGGAGAAAGAUUUAUCGGAGAUGGAUGAGCCCGCGUUGGAUUAGCUAGUUGGUGGGGUAAUGGCCUACCAAGGCGACGAUCCAUAGCUGGUCUGAGAGGAUGAUCAGCCACACUGGGACUGAGACACGGCCCAGACUCCUACGGGAGGCAGCAGUGGGGAAUAUUGGACAAUGGGCGAAAGCCUGAUCCAGCCAUGCUGCGUGAGUGAUGAAGGCCCUAGGGUUGUAAAGCUCUUUCAACGGUGAAGAUAAUGACGGUAACCGUAGAAGAAGCCCCGGCUAACUUCGUGCCAGCAGCCGCGGUAAUACGAAGGGGGCUAGCGUUGCUCGGAAUUACUGGGCGUAAAGCGCACGUAGGCGGCUUCUUAAGUCGGUGGUGAAAUCCUGGAGCUCAACUCCAGAACUGCCUUCGAUACUGGGAAGCUCGAGUCCGGGAGAGGUGAGUGGAACUGCGAGUGUA